RNAcentral lists this ribosomal RNA (460 nucleotides) under uncultured bacterium. Its description in RNAcentral is "partial 16S ribosomal RNA". It matches the Rfam family "Bacterial small subunit ribosomal RNA", at positions 338 to 795 of the family's 1533-position model. The record is from RNAcentral.
CCUACGGGAGGCAGCAGUGAGGAAUAUUGGUCAAUGGACGCAAGUCUGAACCAGCCAUGCCGCGUGCAGGAUGACUGCUCUAUGAGUUGUAAACUGCUUUUAUACAAGGGUAAACCCCGAUACGUGUAUCGGGUUGAAAGUAUCGUACGAAUAAGGAUCGGCUAACUCCGUGCCAGCAGCCGCGGUAAUACGGAGGAUCCGAGCGUUAUCCGGAUUUAUUGGGUUUAAAGGGUGCGUAGGCGGUUUGAUAAGUUAGAGGUGAAAUGUCGGGGCUCAACCCUGAAAUUGCCUCUAAUACUGUUGGCCUAGAGAACAGUUGCGGUAGGCGGAAUGUAUGGUGUAGCGGUGAAAUGCUUAGAGAUCACACAGAACACCGAUUGCGAAGGCAGCCUACCAAACUAUAUCUGACGUUGAGGCACGAAAGCGUGGGUAGCAAACAGGAUUAGAUACCCUUGUAGUC